CAGAGCGAACGCUGGCGGCAGGCCUAAAACAUGCAAGUCGAACGGAUCCUUCGGGAUUAGUGGCGGACGGGUGAGUAACACGUGGGAACGUGCCUUUUGGUUCGGAACAACUCAGGGAAACUUGAGCUAAUACCGAAUGUGCCCUUCGGGGGAAAGAUUUAUCGCCAUUAGAGCGGCCCGCGUCUGAUUAGCUUGUUGGUGAGGUAAAGGCUCACCAAGGCGACGAUCAGUAGCUGGUCUGAGAGGAUGAUCAGCCACACUGGGACUGAGACACGGCCCAGACUCCUACGGGAGGCAGCAGUUAGGAAUCUUGCGCAAUGGGGGAAACCCUGACGCAGCCAUGCCGCGUGAAUGAUGAAGGUCUUAGGAUUGUAAAAUUCUUUCAGCGGGGACGAUAAUGACGGUACCCGCAGAAGAAGCCCCGGCUAACUUCGUG
RNAcentral lists this ribosomal RNA (436 nucleotides) under uncultured bacterium. Its description in RNAcentral is "bacterial SSU rRNA". It matches the Rfam family "Bacterial small subunit ribosomal RNA", at positions 25 to 507 of the family's 1533-position model. The record is from RNAcentral.